Long non-coding RNA from Pieris rapae (cabbage white), 805 nucleotides. RefSeq lists it as uncharacterized. NCBI's taxonomy places the organism in Eukaryota, Metazoa, Arthropoda, Insecta, Lepidoptera, Pieridae. The transcript is spliced from 2 exons. The record is from RefSeq and is a predicted model, not a curated record.
AUUUUCUUAUACUUUAAAUUAAGCGUAUAAAUAGUGUUUUCACAACUUUAAAGCACAAAGUUAAGCAAUUAAUUGAUGUAGGCUUUGCACAUUUCAUUAUGAAAAACUAUUAUCUUGUGAAUAAGUUUAACUCAUUUUAAUUUUGUUAUAAAAUACAUUAUUUUUUUUAUUUUCCCUCUUAAAUGAUAACAGUAAGCAGCAAACAAAACAUAGUAAAUUAACAAUCAAAAUAUAAAGCUUAUAACAAAAACUAGGUUGCUUUUAGUCAAUGUUUACUGCUUUAUUUGAAGUUGGCCCCAGCAAGGUUAGCUAGGAUGUUAAGUAAUUUGAUUUUAGUUGUGACUCCUUCAAGGUAAAUAUAACACAGACUGUAGUUUCUAUAAAAGUCAUUAUUAUUGCAAUAUUAAAGUUAAAUUCAUGGCUCAAAAUAUUCAGGGUGAGAAAUGACUGACAACUAACGACUAAACAAUGUUUGUAUUAAGAAAAACUGAUCUGGGCACUGUUAUAAGGGUGAAGUAGUGUUUUUUACAAUUUGACAGAUACAUAAGCAUAUUCAGCCAGUAGUGGUCCUUUAGCGCCUACAAACAAACCAAUUUCCUAAUGCGAAGUUGCGCCAGAACGUAGCUACUUUAGCAGAUGUAUUAAAUAAAAUGAUAUGGGCCAGCUACAAAAGAGCUAAGCGCUUUCAAAGCCCUCUUAGCAUAGCAGAAAGUGCCAUACAAGCGACCACCACCAUUUAGCGGCUUGGAAGUUGACUUACCACACUUAUACAACCUAGUGCAGCACGUGGGUGGCCUGAAGAAAA